Molecule: transfer RNA, 76 nt
Filed under: Methylocella tundrae
Lineage: Bacteria; Pseudomonadati; Pseudomonadota; Alphaproteobacteria; Hyphomicrobiales; Beijerinckiaceae
Also listed under: 4 other names
Description: tRNA-Lys
Rfam family: tRNA
About the family: Transfer RNA (tRNA) molecules are approximately 80 nucleotides in length. Their secondary structure includes four short double-helical elements and three loops (D, anti-codon, and T loops). Further hydrogen bonds mediate the characteristic L-shaped molecular structure. tRNAs have two regions of fundamental functional importance: the anti-codon, which is responsible for specific mRNA codon recognition, and the 3' end, to which the tRNAs corresponding amino acid is attached (by aminoacyl-tRNA synthetases). tRNAs cope with the degeneracy of the genetic code in two manners: having more than one tRNA (with a specific anti-codon) for a particular amino acid; and 'wobble' base-pairing, i.e. permitting non-standard base-pairing at the 3rd anti-codon position.
Source: RNAcentral
GGGCGCAUAGCUCAGUUGGUAGAGCAGCUGACUCUUAAUCAGCGGGUCCACAGUUCGAGCCUGUGUGCGCCCACCA